UGCAGUCGAGGGGCAGCAUUUCAGUUUGCUUGCAAACUGGAGAUGGCGACCGGCGCACGGGUGAGUAACACGUAUCCAACCUGCCGAUAACUCGGGGAUAGCCUUUCGAAAGAAAGAUUAAUACCCGAUGGUAUAAUCAGACCGCAUGGUCUUAUUAUUAAAGAAUUUCGGUUAUCGAUGGGGAUGCGUUCCAUUAGGCAGUUGGUGAGGUAACGGCUCACCAAACCUUCGAUGGAUAGGGGUUCUGAGAGGAAGGUCCCCCACAUUGGAACUGAGACACGGUCCAAACUCCUACGGGAGGCAGCAGUGAGGAAUAUUGGUCAAUGGGCGCAGGCCUGAACCAGCCAAGUAGCGUGAAGGAUGACUGCCCUAUGGGUUGUAAACUUCUUUUAUAUGGGAAUAAAGUUUUCCACGUGUGGAAUUUUGUAUGUACCAUAUGAAUAAGGAUCGGCUAACUCCGUGCCAGCAGCCGCGGUAAUACGGAGGAUCCGAGCGUUAUCCGGAUUUAUUGGGUUUAAAGGGAGCGUAGGUGGACAGUUAAGUCAGUUGUGAAAGUUUGCGGCUCAACCGUAAAAUUGCAGUUGAUACUGGCUGUCUUGAGUACAGUAGAGGUGGGCGGAAUUCGUGGUGUAGCGGUGAAAUGCUUAGAUAUCACGAAGAACUCCGAUUGCGAAGGCAGCUCACUGGACUGCAACUGACACUGAUGCUCGAAAGUGUGGGUAUCAAACAGGAUUAGAUACCCUGGUAGUCCACACAGUAAACGAUGAAUACUCGCUGUUUGCGAUAUACAGUAAGCGGCCAAGCGAAAGCAUUAAGUAUUCCACCUGGGGAGUACGCCGGCAACGGUGAAACUCAAAGGAAUUGACGGGGGCCCGCACAAGCGGAGGAACAUGUGGUUUAAUUCGAUGAUACGCGAGGAACCUUACCCGGGCUUAAAUUGCAUUUGAAUAANUUGGAAACAGGNUAGCCGCAAGGCAAAUGUGAAGGUGCUGCAUGGUUGUCGUCAGCUCGUGCCGUGAGGUGUCGGCUUAAGUGCCAUAACGAGCGCAACCCUUAUCUUUAGUUACUAACAGGUCAUGCUGAGGACUCUAGAGAGACUGCCGUCGUAAGAUGUGAGGAAGGUGGGGAUGACGUCAAAUCAGCACGGCCCUUACGUCCGGGGCUACACACGUGUUACAAUGGGGGGUACAGAAGGCAGCUACCUGGUGACAGGAUGCUAAUCCCAAAAGCCUCUCUCAGUUCGGAUCGAAGUCUGCAACCCGACUUCGUGAAGCUGGAUUCGCUAGUAAUCGCGCAUCAGCCAUGGCGCGGUGAAUACGUUCCCGGGCCUUGUACACACCGCCCGUCAAGCCAUGAAAGCCGGGGGUACCUGAAGUACGUAACCGCAAGGAGC
This 1393-nucleotide ribosomal RNA is filed under the name bacterium NLAE-zl-P917. RNAcentral's name for it is "bacterial SSU rRNA". It matches the Rfam family "Bacterial small subunit ribosomal RNA". The record is from RNAcentral.